UUUAGUAUGCCCGACGCCGGUUUCCACUCGGAAUUAAUAGGGAAUCCAAAGGCGCGAGCCCUCGUGCUGAAAUGGAACUGCCCCCGCAACUGUAGGCGCUGAGCCCUGCUUGCUGUUCGCCACUGGGGUUUCCCCGGGAAGGCCGAAGCACGGCAUUGAUGCGCCAGUCAGGAGACCUGCCGGCCAGCUUAUUCAUUC
This 198-nucleotide non-coding RNA is filed under the name Pseudomonas lutea. The record is from RNAcentral. Lineage: Bacteria; Pseudomonadati; Pseudomonadota; Gammaproteobacteria; Pseudomonadales; Pseudomonadaceae.